UAGUUCCCAGCGUUUUUAAACAGUAACCUGUUUCCGCGCAGUUGAGAGCAGGGCGCGGCCGCGGUGGGGUGCCCGGGGACCCCGCUGCUCCCUGGCGAGGUGGGAGUCGGGGUCGACCCCCGCACAUCGUCACCCACAGGUGCGAACACAUUUAAAAACAUUAACCAAAAGAUCAGUGCUGUCCCUCCCGGCUACCUCAGCAUCUCAGAGAAAGGCACCAGAUCAGAAGUGCUGUCCUUUCAGAAGAGUGCUGUGGGCUUCUCAGUCAGCACCAGGCCGCUGGAGCUCAGAUUGAAGUGUGAAGGAUGGCAGGUCUACCUGCACAGCAUUGAGCCCCCGACAGAGAGCGAGUGACGCAGGGGUGCGCAUGCUGUCCCGUGCAGUGAGGAGGCCCUGUGAGAGGGAGCAGUGAUGCAAGACCCAGGGACGAAGGAGACUGGCAUCGGGCCAGGACAGGGGGCAGAGGCGCUUUGCAUAAAUUAGCAUGAGAACCAGAAGCCCCGAAUGGCACCGGAAUGAUUCAUUAACAUUCAGAACUCCUCUUUGCCCUAAUUAACAGGGGCAUUGAUUGAAAUGUUUGGCAAGGAAUUAGGGUGCAUUAGAGCAGGUCUGUGGUUACUGGGGUGGAAAGAAAAGGGAGAGGGGGGGGGAUUAAUUGAGAUGCAGAAUUAAAUAGAUGCUGAAUAGUAACAAACAGAUUGGAGUGGCUGCUGUUCUUGUGAUUUAUUUAGGUGGAGCGUGUUUAAGGCCAGUAAGAGUAAUCUGUGUAAUAUACUUUAAAUACAUUGAUAUGUACUCUAUAUAUAUAAUCACCUGUUGCCAUGUUGCUGUGAUCUGUGUUACUUAUAUUAGUAACUGAGAGAUGAUUUGUAAACUUGUAAUUUAUUAAACCAGUUAACAGUAGUAAUUACAAAUCCUUGGGUUAUAGUACAAUAUAAUUAUACAGUGAGGAGAAAGGCUAGUAUAUAUUAAUAAUCAAAGAGAUGCAAUAAAUAAAAUGGUAAAUGUUUUGAAUAAAAAAAAUAUACACAGCAGUUUCCCCUGCCGCUGAAGACAAAGACUGCUAGUCGAAACCAGCGUGAUGGGAUUUAUAUUAGCAUUUAUAAAUUCAGCACUAUAGAGAGUGUUAAGGAGCCAUGAAUGAACAGUAUAUAAAUAAACAUCAUGCAUGUGAUUCUACCUUUUAAAGCUGGUUUUCUGCAUAACAUUUGAUUGGAAUAAACAGUCGCUAUGUUUUGAAGCUGCAUCUCGAGUCUCUUAAUAAGAAAGACAUUUCUUAACUGCUUUGCAUAUGCACCUUGUUGAUUGAUUUCGAAUUUCUCUUGACUUUUCCCCAGCAGCUAGAAAGUAAAUUGCAUUGGACCCUAAAGCCGUGUGUUCAAGUAUACGGCUGCUGGAAGUGCCCUGUGGGUUCAAAGGGACGGCCCCUCCCAGCUGUCUGGGCUCGGAGGCAAGCUGUUCCCCCCCUGACCGGGCUGCCAGCUCCCCAGUACAACAAGCAGCACUGCUGCCAGAGCAAUGGGAAUCUGGAAUGAAAUGCCUUUCAAAGGCCAAUGCGUGAGUUUUCACAGCAAAGGCAUGUCAACUAAUACGGGACGGGCUGACCUUUGCAAGGGUUGGACAGAUGCCGCGCGUGUAGUGAUGUCUGGAGCAGUUUGCUGCUAAAGGGGUCGACGCGUUUUAAGCAUUUUAUAAAAAAGGGGCCUUUUACUGUUGCACUGACAAGCCACUCGGCCACCGUACCCCAUGCUGGACUGAAGGAUUGUGGAGAUACAGCCCUAGUCAGGACCCAGCAAACAGUACACUUUAAUCUGCUUUGCUUACUGUGCCAUGACUGCAAAAC
Polyodon spathula (Mississippi paddlefish) is the source of this 1843-nucleotide long non-coding RNA. RefSeq lists it as uncharacterized. The record is from RefSeq and is a predicted model, not a curated record. The transcript is spliced from 3 exons. NCBI's taxonomy places the organism in Eukaryota, Metazoa, Chordata, Actinopteri, Acipenseriformes, Polyodontidae.